GACGAACCGUGCGAACGUUGUUCGGAAUCACUGGGCUUAAAGGGCGCGUAGGCGGGCUGCCAAGUCCGUGGUGAAAUCCCCCGGCUCAACCGGGGAAUGGCCUCGGAUACUGGCGGUCUCGAGGGAGGUAGGGGCGUGCUGAACUGUAGGUGGAGCGGUGAAAUGCGUUGAUAUCUACAGGAACUCCGGUGGCGAAGGCGGCACGCUGGACCGUUUCUGACGCUGAGGCGCGAAAGCCAGGGGAGCGAACGGG
RNAcentral lists this ribosomal RNA (253 nucleotides) under uncultured bacterium. RNAcentral's name for it is "partial 16S ribosomal RNA". It matches the Rfam family "Bacterial small subunit ribosomal RNA", at positions 524 to 776 of the family's 1533-position model. The record is from RNAcentral.